RNAcentral lists this ribosomal RNA (486 nucleotides) under uncultured bacterium. RNAcentral describes it as "partial 16S ribosomal RNA". It matches the Rfam family "Bacterial small subunit ribosomal RNA", at positions 30 to 507 of the family's 1533-position model. The record is from RNAcentral.
AUUGAACGCUGGCGGCAUGCCUUACACAUGCAAGUCGAACGGCAGCACGGGUGCUUGCCCCUGGUGGCGAGUGGCGAACGGGUGAGUAAUACAUCGGAACAUGUCCUGUAGUGGGGGAUAGCCCGGCGAAAGCCGGAUUAAUACCGCAUACGAUCUACGGAUGAAAGCGGGGGCCCUUCGGGCCUCGCGCUAUAGGGUUGGCCGAUGGCUAAUUAGCUAGUUGGUGGGGUAAAGGCCUACCAAGGCGACGCUCAGUAGCUGGUCUGAGAGGCCGACCAGCCACACUGGGACUGAGACACGGCCCAGACUCCUACGGGAGGCAGCAGUGGGGAAUUUUGGGCGAUGGGCGAAAGCCUGAUCCAGCAAUGCUGCGUGUGUGAAGAAGGCCUUCGGGUUGUAGAGCACUUUUGUCCGGAAAGAAAUCCUUGGCCCUAAUACGGUCGGGGGAUGACGGUACCGGAAGAAUAAGCACCGGCUAACUACGUG